Cryptomeria japonica (Japanese cedar) is the source of this 496-nucleotide long non-coding RNA. RefSeq lists it as uncharacterized. The transcript has 2 exons. NCBI's taxonomy places the organism in Eukaryota, Viridiplantae, Streptophyta, Pinopsida, Cupressales, Cupressaceae. The record is from RefSeq and is a predicted model, not a curated record.
CUCAGCUGAAAGAGUUGAUGUUCCCUAUAUAACUCCAUUCAGUCCCUAUGUUCCAAGCUGUGUAGUGAGUGAAUGGCAGAAAUGUUGAGGAGGAGAAAUACCCAAUUCCUUGUUUUCAUUGUGUGUGCCAUUCUCCUUCUAGGAAGGAGUAGCACAGCAAUUCGUCAGCUACCUUCAGAAAAUAAGGCUGAGAUGGAGAAAGCUGUGGAAGAAGGGUGUACUGGUGGGGAAGAGCAAGCAGAAGAGUGUUUGAUAAGGAGAAGUCUUAAGGACCCAAGUAUAGAUUAUAUCUACUCUGCUAGCAAACCAUAGCUCUAAGCUUUUGCAGGGUAUUUGUCUCUUUUGAUGUGUAGUCAUCUGUGAAAUAGAUUAGAAAAGCUAGAGGUUGUAUUUCUGUCUACAUGUUUGGGAUGAAAUGUACAUGGAUUGGAUUGGAGAUCCUUUUCUAUUAAAAACAUUAUAGCUUUUGCUAUGCAUGAUUUCAAAUUUUAAGCUC